CCUCUGCCUGCUCGGAUGGUUCAGCCAACAAAAGGGAAGUUGGUGUGGUUUUUGGACAAAUCAGCUGCCUCAAAACUUGAUGGUUAUCAAUUUUCUGAGUAGGGUCAAAUUUUCAUAGCCAAUGAAUGUGUAUGUUUUGUAUGUAGCAGAGGGAUUCAACACCCUUGGAUCCUUUUCUCUUCUUCCAUCAGUUCCAAACUUUCCUUUCUUUUUUCUCCCUUUGGCUUUGGGUUAAAUUCUCCAUUUUGGCUUUUGAUCCUCUCUUCUUUAGAGGAGUUGGGGAAGUGUGAUUAUCCUUUUGUGUGAAGAAUAAAGUUGGGGCCUCGGUGCAAAAGCUGUUUUCUGGUACUGUUCACUUUGAGGAUUGUUUUUGAAACUUGGAUAGUAGUCUCAUGGGAGGUCAGCCCAUCGGAAUAUGGAAAACAGCCCUCCUUUUUUUGGCUUUAUUAGUAGCAUGGAAUUUAGUAGGACUUCUCUGCAAACGACUUCAUACAUGUACUCUAUUAGAAUAUACAAAUUUACAGAAAGUUUCUUCCAAUAGUUGUUUGCAUGGCAAUUGGCAUGCAUAUUAUCCAUUUAUCAUUGCAAAAUCAAAUUGUGAGGUUUAUGCCUCUGACCUCUGAUCUAUGGGUGCCCAGUGCUUUGUCAUGAACACUUUGAUUUACGUAUUUUUAUUGUAAUGGGGAUGGAACAAAACACGUAAAUCAAAGUGUUCAUGACAAAGCACUGGGCACCCAUAGAUCAGAGGUCAGAGGCAUAAACCUCACAAUUUGAUUUUGCAAUGACAAAUGGAUAAUAUGCAUGCCAAUUGCCAUGCAAACAACUAUUGGAAGAAACUUUCUGUAAAUUUGUAUAUUCUAAUAGAGUACAUGUAUGAAGUCGUUUGCAGAGAAGUCCUACUAAAUUCCAUGCUACUAAUAAAGCCAAAAAAAGGAGGGCUGUUUUCCAUAUUCCGAUGGGCUGACCUCCCAUGAGACUACUAUCCAAGUUUCAAAAACAAUCCUCA
Molecule: unclassified non-coding RNA, 1006 nt
Filed under: Hevea brasiliensis (rubber tree)
Lineage: Eukaryota; Viridiplantae; Streptophyta; Magnoliopsida; Malpighiales; Euphorbiaceae
Source: RNAcentral